UACGGAGGGUGCGAGCGUUGUCCGGAAUCACUGGGCGUAAAGGGCGCGUAGGCGGCUCGUGAAGUCAGUGGUGAAAGCCCAGGGCUCAACUCUGGGUCGGCCACUGAUACUCGCGAGCUCGAGUUUGGUAGAGGCAGAUGGAAUUCCGGGUGUAGCGGUGGAAUGCGUAGAUAUCAAGUGGAACACCAGUGGCGAAGGCGAGUCCCUGGACAUUUCCUGACGCUGAGGCACGAAAGCUAGGGGAGCAAACAGG
This 253-nucleotide ribosomal RNA is filed under the name uncultured bacterium. Its description in RNAcentral is "partial 16S ribosomal RNA". It matches the Rfam family "Bacterial small subunit ribosomal RNA", at positions 524 to 776 of the family's 1533-position model. The record is from RNAcentral.